Molecule: long non-coding RNA, 766 nt
Filed under: Brassica napus (rape)
Lineage: Eukaryota; Viridiplantae; Streptophyta; Magnoliopsida; Brassicales; Brassicaceae
Description: long non-coding RNA (BNAP_LNC007723)
Source: RNAcentral
UUUGAAAAUUUGUGGACAUAGGUACAUUAAUGUUUGAAAACGAUCUUGGUUUCAUGCGAUUUGGGAUUAUCUUCUUCUCUUAUUUUGAAAGAGUCAAUCUAUUAAGGUUUCAAAACGAUUUGUGUUUGAAUUGAUUUGGGAAAGUCUUCGUUUGUAGUUAGUGUUUGAAAACGAUUUUUGUUUGUAGUUCAAAGAGGGUUGUGUUGUGUUGUGUUGUUAAGAUUUCGACUCUGUGAUUCAUUACGAUUGGAGUGUUGUGUUCUUCAGAUUGUUUACCCAGAAGUACUAUCUUCUUCUCAUAGAUUAGUAUUACUACUGUGUGCUCUGUGAAUUCUUUAAUGUUGUGAAUUCUUUACGGUUUCAGAUUCUUUUCAGAUUGUUUAUAAGUCAUAUUCUUUAAUGUUGUGAAUGUAUAGGAGAACAAGUUGAUUACUUUUGAUGUCUAAUUUCUAUCUUGUAAAUCUCUUUCAGGUGAAGGAAACAUGGAACAAAAUUAUAUCUAAGGACUCCUAAUUAGAUAUACCAUUGGACAAACAUUUUUUAUUAGAAUUCUUAACUAUUCAAACAAAAAAAAAUUACUAAAAUAAUGCUAAGGACUCCAAUGGUGGUAACACCAUUGGAGAUGCUCUAACUAAAUCAUAAGCGCUUAAGCGCUUGUGUUCUUUUUAGUCAAGUUAGGAUACUUUGUAUUUGUCAUUCCAUGUUCACUAUCGAUCUUUAUAGAAAAAGACAAACAAUGUCUUCGUUUUUAUUGACCUCGUUUUUC